RNAcentral lists this ribosomal RNA (445 nucleotides) under Campylobacter gracilis. Its description in RNAcentral is "bacterial SSU rRNA". It matches the Rfam family "Bacterial small subunit ribosomal RNA", at positions 29 to 489 of the family's 1533-position model. The record is from RNAcentral. Lineage: Bacteria; Pseudomonadati; Campylobacterota; Epsilonproteobacteria; Campylobacterales; Campylobacteraceae.
AGUGAACGCUGGCGGCGUGCCUAAUACAUGCAAGUCGAACGGAAUUUAAAAGAGCUUGCUCUUUUAAAUUUAGUGGCGCACGGGUGAGUAAUAUAUAGCUAAUCUGCCCCUUGCUGGAGGACAACAGUUAGAAAUGACUGCUAAUACUCCAUACUCCUUUUUACCAUAAGAUAAAUCGGGAAAGAAUUUCGGCAAGGGAUGAGACUAUAUCGUAUCAGCUAGUCGGUGGGGUAACGGCCUACCGAGGCUAUGACGCGUAACUGGUCUGAGAGGAUGAUCAGUCACAUUGGAACUGAGACACGGUCCAAACUCCUACGGGAGGCAGCAGUAGGGAAUAUUGCGCAAUGGGGGAAACCCUGACGCAGCAACGCCGCGUGGAGGAUGACACUUUUCGGAGCGUAAACUCCUUUUGUUAGGGAAGAAUGAUGACGUACCUAACGAUAGC